GUAAAGAUGGUGCCAGCAGCGGCGGGUAGACGAAAGGUGGCGGCGUUAAUCGGAAGGUCGUGGCGUAAAGCGUGCGGAUGCGGUUUGCUAAGUCAGAUGGGAAAGCCCCGGGCUCAACCUGGGAACUGCAUUUGAAACUGGCAGGCUAGAAUGCAGUAGAGGGAGGUGGAAUUUCCGGUGUAGCUGUGAAAUGCGUAGAGAGCGGAAGGAACACCAGUGGCGAAGGCGGCCUCCUGGACUGACAUUGACGCUGAGGUGCGAAAGCGUGGGGAGCAAACAGGAUUAGAUACCCCAGUAGUC
RNAcentral lists this ribosomal RNA (300 nucleotides) under uncultured Streptomyces sp. RNAcentral's name for it is "bacterial SSU rRNA". It matches the Rfam family "Bacterial small subunit ribosomal RNA", at positions 496 to 795 of the family's 1533-position model. Lineage: Bacteria; Bacillati; Actinomycetota; Actinomycetes; Kitasatosporales; Streptomycetaceae. The record is from RNAcentral.